Molecule: long non-coding RNA, 364 nt
Filed under: Oncorhynchus mykiss (rainbow trout)
Lineage: Eukaryota; Metazoa; Chordata; Actinopteri; Salmoniformes; Salmonidae
Description: lncRNA (ENSOMYG00000059938.1)
Source: RNAcentral
CUACUCUACAUCAUCCCAGGUCUACUACCUACUCUACAUCAUCCCAGGUCUACUACCUACUCUACAUCAUCCCAGGUCUACGUCAUCCCAGGUCUAACUAACUACAUCAUCCCAGAUCUAUUAACUAAUCUACAUCAUCCCAGGUCUACUAACUACUCUACAUCAUCCCAGGUCUAUGUCAUCCCAGGUCUACUAACUACUCUAUAUUCUCUACCCACAACCGCUGUGUGUGUGUGUGUGUGUGUGUGUGUAACGUAGGCACAUGAGAGGGCAAGCGAGACAAAGCCUGUUAGAACAUUUUAGACCAUCUCUGGCAAGACUUACUGACUUCUGAACCAGAGCGGAAGUGUCUUUGAUCUUUAAA